RNAcentral lists this transfer RNA (72 nucleotides) under Loxodonta africana (African savanna elephant). It matches the Rfam family "tRNA". Rfam says of the family: Transfer RNA (tRNA) molecules are approximately 80 nucleotides in length. Their secondary structure includes four short double-helical elements and three loops (D, anti-codon, and T loops). The record is from Rfam by way of RNAcentral. Lineage: Eukaryota; Metazoa; Chordata; Mammalia; Proboscidea; Elephantidae.
CCCUGGUGGCAUAAUUGAUAAAUUGCUUGGCUGCUAACCAAGAGGUCGGUGGUUCAAGCUCACCACCUGGUC